RNAcentral lists this ribosomal RNA (253 nucleotides) under uncultured bacterium. Its description in RNAcentral is "partial 16S ribosomal RNA". It matches the Rfam family "Bacterial small subunit ribosomal RNA", at positions 524 to 776 of the family's 1533-position model. The record is from RNAcentral.
UACGGGGGGGGCAAGCGUUGUUCGGAAUUACUGGGCGUAAAGGGCUCGUAGGCGGCCAACUAAGUCAGACGUGAAAUCCCUCGGCUUAACCGGGGAACUGCGUCUGAUACUGGAUGGCUUGAGUUUGGGAGAGGGAUGCGGAAUUCCAGGUGUAGCGGUGAAAUGCGUAGAGAUCGGGAGGAACAUCAGUUGCGAAGGCGGCUCUCUGGACCAGCACUGACACUGAGGCACGAAAGCGUGGGGAGCAAACAGG